RNAcentral lists this long non-coding RNA (592 nucleotides) under Mus musculus (house mouse). Its description in RNAcentral is "long non-coding RNA chr16:24983716-24984308". Lineage: Eukaryota; Metazoa; Chordata; Mammalia; Rodentia; Muridae. The record is from RNAcentral.
CCACGUGACUUAAUUGGCUGGUCAUUGGAAUGAAGCUGCUUGUGAUGCUGGAGGUUGGCUAGUAUGGCUUUAUUUCCGACCUUUAAAAUGAAUCUGGACAAAGCUACUGUGAUCUAAUGCAAGUGUUUCACCCCUCGCUCCCUUGCUUUCUCCUCUUCUCUCCUUUCCUGCCUCCCUUUAACCUCUCUCUCUACUGUGCCAACUAAUGCUGCCCUGUUUGGCCUUCUAGUAAGUUUAGUUAGGAUACAACAGCACUAUGAACUCAUUAAGGGAGAAUGGCUACCAGGACAUAUACCUACCAGCCAGAAAAAAAAAACAAAACUGCUUUAUGUGGACAUACUCUUUAGCUUGUGCUUAUUCCUAGAGGGAGGGGUGCUCCUUCAGGUGUACUUUAAUGAAUCUGUAUCAGGGUCUUAGCUAAUGGGGUAUUGCUUUAAAAUUAUCUGUAUAUUCCUCACCUAUAUGUAAAGUGAUCAUUCUAAGGCUAGACUAGGAUGCUGUGGGUUUUUUUUUUUUUUUGGUUUGUUUUUUUAAAUUAGAUAUUUUCUUCAUUUACACUUCAAAUGCUAUCCCCUUUCCUAGUUUCCUCUCC